CAGCAGCCGCGGUAAUACGUAGGUCCCGAGCGUUGUCCGGAUUUAUUGGGCGUAAAGGGAGCGCAGGCGGUUUAGUAAGUCUGAAGUUAAAGGCAUUGGCUCAACCAAUGUAUGCUUUGGAAACUGUUAGACUUGAGUGCAGAAGGGGAGAGUGGAAUUCCAUGUGUAGCGGUGAAAUGCGUAGAUAUAUGGAGGAACACCGGUGGCGAAAGCGGCUCUCUGGUCUGUAACUGACGCUGAGGCUCGAAAGCGUGGGGAGCGAACAGGAUUAGAUACCCCGGUAGUCCCUGUCUCUUAUACA
RNAcentral lists this ribosomal RNA (301 nucleotides) under uncultured bacterium. RNAcentral's name for it is "partial 16S ribosomal RNA". It matches the Rfam family "Bacterial small subunit ribosomal RNA", at positions 509 to 808 of the family's 1533-position model. The record is from RNAcentral.